This 433-nucleotide ribosomal RNA is filed under the name uncultured bacterium. Its description in RNAcentral is "partial 16S ribosomal RNA". It matches the Rfam family "Bacterial small subunit ribosomal RNA", at positions 29 to 507 of the family's 1533-position model. The record is from RNAcentral.
AACGAACGCUGGCGGCAUGCCUAACACAUGCAAGUCGAACGAGACCUUCGGGUCUAGUGGCGCACGGGUGCGUAACGCGUGGGAACCUGCCCUUAGGUUCGGAAUAACUCCCCGAAAGGGGUGCUAAUACCGGAUAAUGUCUUCGCACCAAAGAUUUAUCGCCUUUGGAUGGCCCCGCGUUGGAUUAGCUAGUUGGUAGGGUAAAAGCCUACCAAGGCGACGAUCCAUAGCUGGUCUGAGAGGAUGAUCAGCCACACUGGGACUGAGACACGGCCCAGACUCCUACGGGAGGCAGCAGUGGGGAAUAUUGGACAAUGGGCGAAAGCCUGAUCCAGCAAUGCCGCGUGAGUGAUGAAGGCCUUAGGGUUGUAAAGCUCUUUUACCCGGGAUGAUAAUGACAGUACCGGGAGAAUAAGCUCCGGCUAACUCCGUG